GGUUCGAUUCUGGCUCAGAUUGAACGCUGGCGGGAUGCUUUACACAUGCAAGUCGAACGGCAGCACGGACUUCGGUCUGGUGGCGAGUGGCGAACGGGUGAGUAAUGUAUCGGAACGUGCCUAGUAGCGGGGGAUAACUACGCGAAAGCGUAGCUAAUACCGCAUACGCCCUUCGGGGGAAAGCGGGGACCUUCGGGCCUCGCACUAUUAGAGCGGCUGAUAUAUCGGAUUAGCUAGUUGGUGGGGUAACGGCUCACUCAAGGCGACGAUCCGUAGCUGGUUUGAGAGGACGACCAGCCACACUGGGACUGAGACACGGCCCAGACUCCCAUGGGAGGCAGCAGUGUGGGGAAUUUUGGACAAUGGGGAAACCCUGAUCCAGCCAUCCUGCGUGUGCGAUGAAGGCCUUCGGGUUGUAAAGCACUUUUGGCAGGAAAAGAAACGGCACGGGAUAAUACCCGUGCAACUGACGGUACCUGCAGAAUAAGCACCGGCUAACUACGUGCCAGCAGCCGCGGUAAUACGUAGGGUGCAAGCGUUAAUCGGAAUUACUGGGCGUAAAGCGUGCAGGCGGUUCGGAAAGAAAGAUGUGAAAUCCCAGAGCUUAACUUUGGAACUGCAUUUUUAACUACCGAGCUAGAGUGUGUCAGAGUGGAGUAACGGAAUUCCGCGUGUAGCAGUGAAAUGUGUAGAUAUGUGGAGAAACACCGAUGAAGUAAAGGCAGCCUCCUGGGAUAAACACUGACGCUCAUGCACGAAAGCGUGGGGAGCAAAUAGGAUUAGAUACCCUGGUAGUCCACGCCCUAAACGAUGUCAACUAGCUGUUGGGGCCUUCGCCUUGGUAGCGCAGCUAACGUGUGAAGUUGACCGCCUGGGGAGUACGGUUCGUAAGAUUAAAACUCAAAGAAUUGACGGGGACCCGCACAAGCGGUGGAUGAUGUGGAUUAAUUCGAUGCAACGCGAAAACCUUACCUACCCUUGACAUGUCUGGAAUCCCGAAGAGAUUUGGGAGUGCUCGCAAGAGAACCGGAACACAGGUGCUGCAUGGCUGUCGUCAGCUCGUGUCGUGAGAUGUUGGGUUAAGUCCCGCAACGAGCGGCAACCUUGUCAUUAGUUGCUACGAAAGGGCACUCUAAUGAGACUGCCGGUGACAAACCGGAGGAAGGUGGGGAUGACGUCAAGUCCUCAUGGCCCUUAUGGGUAGGGCUUCGUUAUCGUCAUACAAUACCGGACAGAGGUCGCCAACCCGCGAGGGGGAGCCAAUCCCAGAAACCUGAUCGUAGUCCGGAUCGUAGUCUGCAACUCGACUGCGUGAAGUCGGAAUCGCUAGUAAUCGCGGAUCAGCAUGUCGCGGUGAAUACGUUCCCGGGUCUUGUACACACCGCCCGUCACACCAUGGGAGUGGGUUUUACCAGAAGUAGUUAGUCAACUGCAGGAGGCGAUUACCACGGUAGGAUUCAUGACUGGGGUGAAGUCAACAAGGUAA
Molecule: ribosomal RNA, 1486 nt
Filed under: uncultured Bordetella sp.
Lineage: Bacteria; Pseudomonadati; Pseudomonadota; Betaproteobacteria; Burkholderiales; Alcaligenaceae
Description: partial 16S-23S ribosomal RNA intergenic spacer
Rfam family: Bacterial small subunit ribosomal RNA
Source: RNAcentral